GAUGAACGCUGGCGGCGUGCCUAAUACAUGCAAGUAGAACGCUGAAGGAAGGAGCUUGCUCUUUCCGGAUGAGUUGCGCACGGGUGAGUAACGCGUAGGUAACCUGCCUGGUAGCGGGGGAUAACUAUUGGAAACGAUAGCUAAUACCGCAUAACAGUAGAUGUUGCAUGACAACUAUUUGAAAGGGGCAAUUGCUCCACUACCAGAUGGACCUGCGUUGUAUUAGAUAGUUGGUGAGGUAACGGCUCACCAAGGCGACGAUACAUAGCCGACCUGAGAGGGGGAUAGGCCACACUGGGACUGAGACAAGGCCCAGACUCCUACGGGAGGCAGCAGUAGGGAAUCGUCGGCAAUGGACGGAAGUCUGACCGAGCAAGGCAGCGUGAGUGAAGAAGGUGUUCGGAUCGUAAAGCUCUGUUGUAAGAGAAGAACGAGUGUGAGAGGGGAAAGUUCACACUGUGACGGUAUCGUACCAGAAAGGGACGGCUAACUACGU
This 496-nucleotide ribosomal RNA is filed under the name uncultured bacterium. Its description in RNAcentral is "partial 16S ribosomal RNA". It matches the Rfam family "Bacterial small subunit ribosomal RNA", at positions 28 to 506 of the family's 1533-position model. The record is from RNAcentral.